Molecule: ribosomal RNA, 497 nt
Filed under: uncultured bacterium
Lineage: Bacteria
Description: partial 16S ribosomal RNA
Rfam family: Bacterial small subunit ribosomal RNA
Source: RNAcentral
GAUGAACGCUGGCGGCGUGCCUAAUACAUGCAAGUCGAGCGAACAGACGAGGAGCUUGCUCCUCUGACGUUAGCGGCGGACGGGUGAGUAACACGUGGAUAACCUACCUAUAAGACUGGGAUAACUUCGGGAAACCGGAGCUAAUACCGGAUAAUAUAUUGAACCGCAUGGUUCAAUAGUGAAAGACGGUUUUGUUGUCACUUAUAGAUGGAUCCGCGCCGCAUUAGCUAGUUGGUAAGGUAACGGCUUACCAAGGCAACGAUGCGUAGCCGACCUGAGAGGGUGAUCGGCCACACUGGAACUGAGACACGGUCCAGACUCCUACGGGAGGCAGCAGUAGGGAAUCUUCCACAAUGGGCGAAAGCCUGACGGAGCAACGCCGCGUGAGUGAUGAAGGUCUUCGGAUCGUAAAACUCUGUUAUUAGGGAAGAACAAAUGUGUAAGUAACUAUGCACGUCUUGACGGUACCUAAUCAGAAAGCCACGGCUAACUACGUG